GACGUAGGGCGCGAGCGUUGUCCGGAUUUAUUGGGCGUAAAGAGCUCGUAGGCGGCUUGUCGCGUCGUGUGUGAAAUCUCAGGGCUCAACUCUGACAUUGCAUACGAUACGGGCAGGCUUGAGUUCGGUAGGGGAGACUGGAAUUCCUGGUGUAGCAGUGAAAUGCGUAGAUAUCAGGAGGAAUACCGAUGGCGAAGGCAGGUCUCUGGGCUGACACUGACGCUCAUGCACGAAAGCGUGGGGAGCAAACAGG
This 253-nucleotide ribosomal RNA is filed under the name uncultured bacterium. RNAcentral's name for it is "partial 16S ribosomal RNA". It matches the Rfam family "Bacterial small subunit ribosomal RNA", at positions 524 to 776 of the family's 1533-position model. The record is from RNAcentral.